Molecule: long non-coding RNA, 338 nt
Filed under: Setaria viridis
Lineage: Eukaryota; Viridiplantae; Streptophyta; Magnoliopsida; Poales; Poaceae
Description: long non-coding RNA (SVIR_LNC005977)
Source: RNAcentral
UUCGAAGCAGGCGCGACGUUCAUCUUCGGCUCCUGGGCCUGCAUGCGAUGGCGCUGAAGGCUUCCACUGCCACAUGGAGGCCCCGGAGGAGAAGUUUUACGAAAUCAACCUUCAUCGCCAAGCUUUGGAGGAAUUCGUUGAAAGAUUCAACGAAAUUUUUGACCUGUUCCAAGGAUCGAGAAGCAAGUCCAAGUACUACUCGGGCCCUACAUCUACUCGGAUCAGUUCUCACGAGUCGGCAUUCCAGCCAUCGUGCAAAUUGAUUCAAACUCCGAGUCAAUUCCCGUUCGGAUUCCGUAACGCAGCUGCCACCUAUCAAGCAGGCCUGUCUAGAUUGC